This 2181-nucleotide long non-coding RNA is filed under the name Equus caballus (horse). RNAcentral's name for it is "lncRNA (ENSECAG00000044995.1)". Lineage: Eukaryota; Metazoa; Chordata; Mammalia; Perissodactyla; Equidae. The record is from RNAcentral.
CCCCACCCAACCGCUGCUGCUUCGGGCUUCGCGGCUCAAAACAACAGCGGCGGCGCCGCCAGCUCCGCGCUCCGCCACUGCCCCGGCGGGCGAGCGGGCGGGACUCGGACCCGCCGCUCUCGGUCCCGCGCAGAGCCGCGGGGAGCAGCGCACCGGGCACAGGGGAGGCAGCGCGGGGUCAGCCGUCCGAACACCGGGGGCCCCGCACUUCGCCGCCCUGGGGGCGGGCCCACGCACUCCUGCCUCCGGGGCCCCCAGGUGAGUACCCAGUGGCGCAAGCGCCCGAGCUGGGCCACCUCUGGGGACCCGGGCCUCUGGGGACACUUCCCCCUCGCCUCUCGCGGCCCAGGUGCGUCACGGGCGGGAGGGCCGGCGGAGCAGGUGGAGAAGCGGAGGCAGGAGCCCGCCGCGGGCCUCUUCUCAAACUCGCAGGCGGGCAGCGGAGGGCCCCGCUGGGCGCAGGCAGGGUGUCCAGGCCCAGGGGCCUGGUGAGGACACUGAGAAUUCCUCAUUUGAGUAUGUGUGGGAUUCGAGAAAGAAUUGGAAGCAAACGCAGGCGCUGAACCCCGCGCCCUUUCCAGCACCAGGGUUCUGCCGGGCUGCAGGACUCGGAGCUGCCGCUGAGUCAACCUGAGCUGGAGAGGGUCGUGUUCGCGGUGCGGAGUCUCUGCAGCCCCGGCUGGGCUCCUGGCCAUGCCCCCGCCCCCCCCCCCCCCCCCAGGCCCCUUUGUUGUGCAGUGAGACCGGUAGCGCCUCCGCCGGAACCUUCAUUCGAACCCCGCGCCCUUGCCACAAAAGAGGUGAACCGGCCAGGGCCGAGGAGCCAACCCCGACACCGCAGGGUCCUAGCAGAGGCACCCCCGAUGGCGAGGGGCGCACGGCCAACGCCAUCCCCGAAGAGAAGCCGGGAGGAGCCGGGCUCGGCAGGCAGGAGCCGGCGGCGGCGGUGCGCUGGGCCUUCCGCCUUCGCGCCUCCGCAUUCUGCAGCCGCUUCCCCGCUGGGAUUCGAACCCGGACAGAGCCCCCACUGCUCGGGGCGACAAGUCUCGCGUUCCUCUCGCCUCCCCACAGAGAAGGUGCUCUCUGCCGGCUCUGAUUCUCACUGACCGCUGCCUCUGCUGUUUCCGGCCCUAGCUGGAGCUGUUUAUCAUCACUCCAACUUUCACUAAAAAGGAAAAACUAUCACUUAAACAAAGCCAUUGAAAACUCAGCAUCGUACAUGGAUUUCUCAACAUAAAUAAAUCCUGCAAACCCGGAGCUGUUCUCUCCGAGUGAUGUCACUCACUGAGGCUGCCUUCCCCAUCAAAUCGGCCGCGAGCUGUUCUCCUUUUGUGUGUGUGCUUUUUGCAAAAUCAGGAAAGCCGUGCUGACCUCCUUGCUGCGCUUUUUUCUCAGCUCUUCCCAGGACACAGAAAGGUCUCUCCCUGGUCGGCCCGGCAGAACCAGAUCUAAAUGGUGAAAACCGUUUCAACUGCACAGACUGUGUUUAAACCCUCUGCUUUGGAGUCAUGAGUUCCGAGUUGAAAGACUGGUAAAGCUUCCCGAAGAAUUUGGGCAGACCUCGGCAGAAGUUGAAGGAUCUCUGGGUCUCUCAGAGCCUACAACAAGCCUGGCUGCAGGCCAGUCACGCUGAAAUGAAUGAGCAACGUGAAAGUCACCAUGGGUGGGUAAAUGAGAUGUGGUCUCUCCGUACCAUGGAGGAGUAUUCAGCCAUAAAAGGAACAAGGUGCUGAUCCGAGCUCCCACAUGAAUGAACCUCGAAAACAUCAUUCUCAGUGAAAGAAGCCAGUCAUAAAAGGCCACAUAUUGUAUGAUUCCAAUUAUAUGAAAUGUCCAGGAUGGGAAAAUCCAGGGAGACAGAAAAUAGAUUAGUGAUCGCCAGAGCUGGGGGCGGGGGGGGGGCAGAAAUAGGGAGGAACUGCUUAAUGCGUACGAGGUUUCCUUCUGGGAAGGUGAGAAGGUUCUGGAACUAGAUCGUGGGGAUGGUUGCACAACAUGGUGAACGUGCUGAAUGCCGCUGAAUUGUACACUUUGAAACGGUGAAUGUUAUGUGAAUUAUAUCUCAAUAAAUCUGUUAUUAAAAAUAUCACUACUGAGCAUGCAUGUUUAAGAAUUUUUAUGCUCACCUGGAAAGCUCUUUUUAAAUUUUGAAAGGAGCACACAGCCAGAAGAGCAUGUCAC